Molecule: long non-coding RNA, 1914 nt
Filed under: Ananas comosus (pineapple)
Lineage: Eukaryota; Viridiplantae; Streptophyta; Magnoliopsida; Poales; Bromeliaceae
Description: long non-coding RNA (ACOM_LNC025954)
Source: RNAcentral
AGAAGAACAUGAGCUCCUUCACAAUUCAAGGAUGCAAAAGAAGGGAUCAGCUGUGGGAGGACGGGGACAGAGAGUAGCCUACGUUGUAAGUUAGGGGGGUAUUUGUAGAAGAGAGGUAACAAUUACAACUGAACCCCUCCCCAACACAUUGUUUGCAACUCAUGUUUUGGAACAUGAAUUUUCAUGUUCCAAACAUGCUCAGGUUCUGAAACCUCUAUUCAGGUUUCGUAGAGACAGAAACUUUCUACCACAUAUGUUCUUGAACCUCAAGUCCAUGUUUCGAAACUUGACAUAGAAAUAAAAUUCUAAGAUUCAUGAUAUUAUAUAUUAAUCCAACUAAAUGGAAUACAUUUGUCUAUAACUACUGCAUGUUUAUUACAUGUAGCUCUAUCUAUAUUUUAGUAACAACUCCGCCCAAUUGAAUAACCCUCUAGAAAAAAUUCUUAAUUGUAAUAGUGAUGUAUCACAGCAGUCAAAAUGCUUCUUUUUUUCUUUUUUUCUUUUUUUUUUUAAAGUUGCUUGUAAUAUGGCACGGUCAUGAGCAUGAGGAGAAGUUCUACACUGUUACGCUUGCACCACGUCAUCAAUAACAAGCCAAUCAUAUUUCUGCUUUUCAAACAAAAGUACAACAAAAAUAUUUUUUUACCAUCAUGAUGGGACAUAUAUUUUUAAAAAAAUUUAUUUGAUUGGUUUGUGACGCCAUGUCACUAGUAUAACCGGUGUAUUCUAGAAUUUUUCCAUGAGGUGGCAGCUUGCAACUGACAAGGCUUGUUUUUGUCUUAAUAUUUUUUAAUAUUUUUUACUUUAUUUUAAAUAUAAUUUAAAUUAUUCAAAUAUUAAAUAACUUUCUUAAAAAAAGUUAUUUAAAUCUGUUUUAUUGAGGAAAUAACAAUAUAUUUGUCAGGAAGUUAUCAGUAAAAUUUAAAAAAUAAAAUUAAAACACUAAAAAAAUGUAUAGGGGUGUAUUUAAUUUCAAGCCUAAAUUUAGGCUCAAGCUCGGCUUGAAAUUAAUUCGAGUCGAGCUCAAACGAGCCUAAUUUUGUGUCGAGCGAGCUCAAACACUAACAAAGCCGCUUGAAAUUCUUAAUAUCAUACAAUCUAUAAUUUAAUUUUUAUAAAAUAUUAUCUAAAAUUUAAUACAAAAAUAUGUCUUAUAGUUUAACAUACAAAAUAAAUACAUAAAAUACAAUAUUAUAAAUACAUAAAAUACAAUAUUAUAAAAUACAAAAUAAAUACAUAAAAUACAAUAUUAUAAUAUUAAAAAAAUAAUUUAAGAGAAGCGACUCUACGAGCAAGUGAAAUGAAAGAGAGAAAGAGAAAGAGUAAUUUGAGUAGGGUUUUGCUGGUUUGGUUUUGUGGGCCAGCAAAUAUACAUAAUAACCUAAGCUCUAUAUAUAAUAUUUAAAUACAUAAUAAUUAUAUAUAAUUAAUAUAUAUAUAUAUAUAUAUAUAUAUAUAUAUAUAUAUAUAUAUAUAUAUAUAUAUAGAGUGAGGCUCCUAUCCUUCUGGAAGCACGGAGCCUUCCGUGCUUUCAGGUUGUUUUCGAUGUUGCAACUUUCAAAUCGUCGAUCGGCUCCGUUAAACUUGAUAUAGAGUAUUUGAAGUACCUAGAAAAUAAAUUUUAUGAUUUUCGAUAUCAUUUGCCUAGUGAUCGAAGCGCUCAAAAUCAAUAAUUUUAAUGGUCGUAGUGAGCCGUUUGCAAGUUUAACGGUGUAGAAAUAUUCAAAUCACAUGAAAUUUUGAUAGAAAAUUUUUUAUAUUAUAUAAAACAAGAUCAAUAUCUUUGAUCUAAAAUUUUAAUGUUAUAUUAUUACGUUUUGUAAGAUUUUUAUUUCAGCCGUUGCUUUUGAGCCCCUUCGUUCACUAGGCAAAUAAUAUCAAAAAAUUACAUAAUUUAUUUUCUAGGUACUUUUU